Molecule: long non-coding RNA, 34888 nt
Organism: Homo sapiens (human)
Lineage: Eukaryota; Metazoa; Chordata; Mammalia; Primates; Hominidae
Exons: 2
Source: RefSeq, a predicted model, not a curated record
CAUGAUAUCUCUGUCUUAGGAGCUACUAAAUUGAGCCUGCCUCCUGUUGCUGAACUCUCGUUUUUUGGAUUGCAAUGUGGUGGAAUUGCAGGAUAUCAAGACAGGCCGGUUAAAAAGGUUUUCUCUCAGUUUAGUCUCUAUCAGAUGCAGUGCCAAGUAUCUUCCAGAUAAAUAUGUCCUGCAUUGCUCUUGUCCGCUGCCUCAAGUUGAGGAUGUUAAACUCUCUGAGUUGUCCCUGUUUGCAGAUGACAUGAUUGUGUAUUUAGAAAACCCCAUUGUCUCAGCUCAAAAUCUCCAUAAGCUGAUAAGCAACUUCAGCAAAGUCUCAGGAUACAAAAUCAGUGUGCAAAAAUCAUAAGCAUUCCUAUACACCAAUAACAGACAAACAGCCAAAUCAUGAGUGAACUCCCAUUCACAAUUGCUAAAAAGGGAAUAUAAUACCUAGGAAUCCCACUUACAAGGGAUGUGAAGGACCUCUUCAAGGAGAAUUACAAAACACUGCUCGACAAAAUAAAAGAGGACACAAACAAGUGGAAGAACAUUCCAUGCUCAUGGAUAGGAAGAAUCAAUAUCGUGAAAAUGGCCAUAUUGCCCAAGGUAAUUUAUAGAUUCAGUGCCAUCCCCAUCAAGCUACCAAUGACUUUCUUCACAGAACUGGAAAAAACUACUUUAAAGUUCAUGUGGAACCAAAAAGAGCCCUUAUUGCCAAGUCAAUCCUAAGCAUAAAGAACAAAGCUGGAGGCAUCAUGCUACCUGACUUCAAACUAUACUACAAGGCUACAGUAACCAAAACAGUAUGGUACCGGUACCAAAACAGAGAUAUAGACCAAUGGAACGGAACAGAGGCCUCAGAAAUAACAACACACAUCUAUAACCAUCUGAUCUUUGACAAACCUGACAAAAACAAGAAAUGGGGAAAGGAUUCCCUAUUUAAUAAAUGGUGCUGGGAAAACAGGCUAGUCAGAUAUAGAAAGCUGAAACUGGAUCCCUUCCUUACACCUUAUACAAAAAUUAAUUCAAGAUGGAUUAAAGACUUAAAUGUUAGACCUAAAACCAUGAAAACCGUAGAAGAAAACCUAGGCAAUACCAUUCAGGACAUAGGCAUGGGCAAGGACUUCAUGACUAAAACACCAAAAGCAAUGGCAACACAAGCCAAAAUUGACAAAUGGGAUCUAAUUAAACUAAAGAGCUUCUGCACAGCAAAAGAAACUACCAUCAGAAUGAACAGGCAACUUACAGAAUGGGAGAAAAUUUUUGAAAUCUACCCAUCUGACAAAGGGCUAAUAUCCAGAAUCUACAAAGAACUUAAACAAAUUUACAAGAAAAAAACAACCCCAUCACAAAGUGGGCAAAGGUUAUGAACAGACACCUCUCAAAAGAAGACAUUUAUGCAGCCAACAGACACAUGAAAUAAUGCUUGUCAUCACUGAUCAUCAGAGAAAUGCAAAUUAAAACCACAGUGAGAUACCAUCUCACACCAGUUAGAAUGGCAUCAUUAAAAAGUCAGGAAACAACAGAUGCUGGAGAGGAUGUGGAGAAAUAGGAAUGCUAUUAUGCUGUUGGUUGGAAUGUAAACUAAUUAAACCAUUUUGGAAGACAGUGUGGCAAUUCCUCAAGGAUCUAGAGCUAGAAAUAUCAUUUGACCCAGCAGUCCCAUUACUGGGUAUAUACCCAAAGGAUUAUAAAUCAUGCUGCUAUAAAGACACAUGCACACAUAUGUUUAUGGCAGCACUAUUCACAAUAGCAAAGACUUGCAACCAACCCAAAUGUCCAUCAAUGAUAGACUGGGUUAAGAAGAUGUAGCACAUAUAUACCAUGGAAUACUAUGCAGCUGUAAAAAAGGGUGAGUUCCUAUUCUUUGCAGGGACAUGAAUGAAGCUGGAAACCAUCAUUCUGAGCAAACUAUCACAAAGACAGAAAACCAAACACUCCAGGUUCUCACUCAUAGGUGGAAACUGAACAAUGAGAACACUUGGACACAGGGUGGGGAACAUCAAACACUGGGGCCUGUUGUGGGGUGGGGGGUCUGGGGAGGGAUAGCAUUGGGAGAAAUACCUAAUGUAAAUGACAGGUUGAUGGUUGCAGCAGACCAGCAUGGCAUAUGUAUACCUAUGUAAUGAGCCUGCAUGUUGUGCACAUGUACCCUAGAACUUAAAAGUAUAAUAGUAAAAUGUGCCAUGUAAUCAGUGAGGUCUCAGUCAGACUUCCAAUUAGGGGAUCCUGUGUGAUGAUUGCCUGUAACAAUCUGAUCAUCUAAAAGUCACUUUAGUCACAUGGAGGAAGAUUUAGACAGUGACUUUGGGUCAGUAUUGUGUUUUUUGCUGAGGAUAUAGAGUAAAAUAAGACACAGCUUCUGCCACCAGUGGGCUUAUAGAUUUAACAGGCAUAGAGGAGCAUGGCAACAAAUGGCAUGGUAUGAUCAAGGUGCUUUGGGGCAAGGGGAGGUGGGGAAGUUGAGCAGGUUUCACUCCAUGAGCUGUACGUGGCCAGGGGUUUGAAGGAUGCAUGGACAGUUGCCAGGGAAGUAGGAGUGGAAGAUGGGGCAGGACAUGAGGGAGGGGUGGGGGCAGCCUACCGCUGUUUGAAGGUAAACAUGUAUGUUUUGUUUGAAGGAGGAGGUUGGGGAGAAGAGGAUAGAAUUGUGGGAAGUUUCUCCAGGACAGUUGUGGGACGGGUAGUAGGGAAGGAGUAAGGGUCAAAGCCAGAGUUAAGGAAGCAUUUGGGGCAGGAUGGAGAUAUUGUUGGACCUACCUUUUUUAUUGAUUGCGCUAGAGAGUGGAGAUAGAGGGAGCUGGGACUGGAGGUGGAGGAACUGGCUCAGGUCCUGCUGUUGGAGUGGAGGUUAGAUGUAUUGAAGCAGAAGCAGAAAUGAGCUUUGAGGUUUAGGGGGCAAAGUAAUUAGGCUUGGGGGUUGACUCUCAGUGGGAAGAGAAGUGUAGGUGGAACUGGGGAGAGGGCGCAGUCUCUGAGACAUUUCAGUGAAUAUGCCUGUGUUCUGGCCACCCAGGCUGGGGUUCCGAGAUAACUAAGACAUGGCCUUUGCUUUACAGAACCUGAUAGAUAGGGAUAGGAGAGGUGGGAGACUGAGAACAGAUGAAAGGGUUGGUGAGCAGUGUGAGGGCCUGGAGCAAUCAGAAAUCCUGAGUUCGUAAAGAUGCCAAUCUUUUGCACCAGUUGUUCAGCAUUGGAUUAGAGCCUUGAUUCAAGGUUGGGAUUAGAGGGCAGGUGUGGGAACAACCUGGUGCUCAGAAAUAAAAGUUGUUAGGCUCAGUUAAUGAAAGUAUAAAUUGAUAUGGGUGGCUUUUAGACUUUGGUAGUCACAGUGGCUGGAAAUCUUCCUUUGUUCCUCCGGACCCGCUCUUGUCCCUUUUCCAGUCCCCUCUGUGACCCAGGAGGCUGAGCUGAGUGGACUUUCUUGCCCUCUGGCUUCUAGUUAGGGUCGGCCAUUGGGGAAGCCCCAGUGAGAGAACAAGAGGGUGGGCAGCUCCAUUCCUGCCAGGUCACUGUGGGCUGGCUGCUUCCCUUUCCUAAAGUCCACAGCUCUAGCCCUAUGUACUCAUCUCCCUUGUAUUUUUUUUUUUUUUUUUUGAGAUGGAGUUUUGCUCUUGUCACCCAGGUUGGAGUACAGUGGUGCGAUCUUGGCUCACUGCAACCUCCGCCUCCAGGGUUCAAGUGAUUCUCCUGCCUCAGCCUCCCGAGUAGCUGGGAUUACAGGUGCACGCUACCACGCCCGGCUAACUUUUUGUAUUUUUAGUAGAGACGGGGUGUUGCCAUGUUGGGCAGGCUGGUCUUGAACUCCUGACCUCAGGUGAUCCACCAGCCUCGGGCUCCCAAAGUGCUGAGAUUACAGGCGUGAGUCACCGCGCCCGGCCAUCUCCCCUGUAUUAAGGUCACUCCUUUACCUGGCCUGUUGGGUCUCAAACAAUGGCAAGGGAUUGCCGCUGUUAGGACCAUUGUCCCUUGAUGGUUUACUGCCAAAGUUUGGACUAAUAAAGACAGAAAUAUUUGCCUGCAUGACUCAGUAUCUACAUACACACACACAUACAACAAACCCCCGUGCCCCACCCCCAGCCUGAAACAAAAGUUUCAGGAGAGUACUUACCUUUGCUGUGAAUGAUGCCCUCAGAUUUCUAAAUUCUAUUUUGUUUCACUGAAAAAGUAGUUGGGGUGUGCUAAAUUGAUUUCACUAAUGGGUUAGGGCCCAUAGUAAAAAAACCACUGGAGCUUCCUGAUGUUUAUGGACACAGGAUGGACCAUCAGAUCAAGUGACUCAGAAAUCCUCACAGCGCUAAGAUCUGAUUGCUUAUAGAUUUAUCCAAAGUGUGAGGCUGAAGUUAAGCUUCUAAAAUGAACUUAAACUCCUAAAAUCAAAUGACAUUGUAGGUGUUAAUAGGUGAAUUUUUCUGUGGAUUAUAAUGCCACGUACCUUAUAUGUGUAAUAGAGAUAAUUUUUGGAUCUUGAGACUUGUGUAUGGCUAGUGUGUGAGCUAAGAGUCAUCCUGGCCCAGAAGUCGCUGUGGCUUUAUAAAAUCUUCGAGAAACUGAAAGAGUUUUACUUGUCAUCUUGUUUUUCUUUUGUCAUGACAUGGUGAUAGUAUUGGUAACUUUAAAUAUUAGGUCUGGAUUACUUCCUUUUGUAGCAAAGAGAUGAGGAAGUGUAAGAUGGAUAAAUAAUCCUUGCCUCUGUAUUUAUAGACACAUUUAUAGAGAUUCAGUGGGCUUGAGUUUUGACAGCAGUGUUUGAUCAGAAACAUUUUCCCAGAACCUUAAAAAAAAACUGCAGUUCAAAUAUUUCUAAUAAAAAAAAUUUUUUUUUUUCGUUGCUGUAACUAGAUUUGCAUUUCCGAUUUUUCUCUCUCUUGUUUCACUUUUGUCUGUGGCUGAGGAAGGGCCACUUGGGAAAUGCAGCUGUGGGUCGUAAGGAGUCCCUCACUCUAUCGCUCUGUGUUUCCUGGGGCUGCCAUGACAAUGUACCACAAACUGGGUGGUUUAAAACAAGAGAAAUUUAUUUUCUCACAGUUCUAAAGUCUGUAGAUUCAAAUUUAAGGUGUUGGCAGGGCCACGCUUCCUUCAAAACCUCUAGAGAAGGAUUCUUUCUUGCUUCUUCCAGCUUCUGGCAGCCCAGGGCAUUUCUGAGCUAUGGCAGCAUAACUCCAAUCUCUGCCUCCGUUUUUACAUGCCGUCUUCCCGCUGUCUCUCUCUCUCUCUCUCUCUCUCUCUCUCUCUCUCUCUCUCUCUCUCUUUCUCUCUUCUCCCUUUAUAAGGACACCAGUCAUACUGGAUUAGGGUCCACCCUAAUGACCUCGUCUUAAUUUGAUUCCAUCUGUAAAGACUCUGUUUCUAAAUAAGGUCACAUUCAUAGGUAUGGGUGGGGGGGACUGGGAUCUCAACAUACUGUGUUUUGGAGGAUAACACACUUCAACCCAUAAUAAUGGCAAUUUGUUUUUAAUGCAUUUUUUCUUGCUUUUCCACUAAGACACAUUGGGGGAAUUCUGUUGAUUUCCCCAUUGCCUUUCUUACAAUGUUACUCUCUUUAUUUCUUAUAUUUUUGCUCCAAAAUAGUCCACAUAUAAUAAUCAUUCUGUAUUAUUGAGAAUUGAAGGUUAUUGGUGUGAUUGACUUAUCUACUACCUUCUCCAUGUAAACAUUUUGGUAUCUGCUUCCUUGUUCUCAUUUACCUUUUCAGUUGACACUUUUGAGACUCAUGUAUGUCCUAAAUUCUAUCUCAUGUCACAUCCUUUGUGGUCUGCUUUAUUUUUUAUUUUUUGAGACGGAGUCUUGCUCUGUCACCCAGGCUAGAGUGCAGUGGCGCUAUGUCGGCUCACUGCCAGAUCCACCUCCCGGGUUCACGCCAUUCUCCUGCCUCAGCCUCCCGAGUAGCUGGGACUACAGGCACCCGCCACCAUGCCCGGCUAAUUUUUUUGUAUUUUUAGUGGAGACGGGGUUUAACCGUGUUAGCCAGGAUGGUCUCGAUCUCCUGACCUUGUGAUCUGCCCACCUCAGCCUCCCAAAGUGCUGGGAUUGCAGGCGUGAGCCACUGCGCCCGGCCAGUGGUCUGCUUUAUUAAGCAUUGAUUGAAGCCCAGUGGCUGGUAUGGAUUACAUUGCUAUUCAGUCUGUAAUUACGUUCUUUUACAGGUGGCAGGUGGAGUGUUUUGGAGCAUGUGUCAUGUCCCCCACGUAGCUCAGUUCCUUUCCUUCGGGGCUUCACAUGCAUACAUUUUGAAAUGAAGAAAGCCAUAAGCAGGUGCCAGAUGAGUUUCCUGGGCACUCAGAAGGAAGAGAGCCUGCAGUAGGCUGGAAUGGCCAAGUGGGAAAAUGGACAGAAUUUAGACAAAUGCAGUAGAGGAUGAGGGAGAGUGUAUCAUGUGGCAGAGAUGAUGGAAGUACAAGCAUUGUAGUAGUUCUUAAUUUGUUGAUCCUAACACCCCUUUGCCCUCAUAUUUUCUUAGAAGACCUGAGGGAACGUUUCAUGUGCGUUAUAUCUAUAUUUAUCAUAUUAUAAAUCAAAAAUGAGAAAUUAAAAAAUAUGUUCAAUUGAUUUAAAAUAACAAAGUGCCCAUUACAAGUUAAAAUACUUAUUUUUAGGAAAAAUAACUACAAAACAAAAAAAAAUGUGGUGAGAACCAUAGCACUAUAUACCAUUUUUUUGCAAAUCUCUUUAAUGUUUGGCUUAUUAGCUGGAUUCUCAAAUCUGCUUUCUCAUUCAAUCUGUUGCAAUGUUGUUUUGAUUUAAAUAUAUGAAGAAAAUCCUGCCUCAUACAGAUAUGUAGUUGGAAAGGGAGAAGCAUUUUAAUAGCUUCGUCAGAUAAUUGUAGAUAUGCUUUUUGUAGAUAUACUACAUGAAAAUUCAGUAAGUUAUAGUUUCUUUUUCUUGCUUAAAAAUACAUUUAUUAUAUCACAGUUUCUAUGGGUUAGCAGUCUGCACACAGCUUAGCUGGGUCCUUUUCUUAGACUCACCAGGCUGCAAUCAAGAUAUCGCCUAGGCUAUGCUCUCAUCUGGAGGCUUGACUGGGAAGAAUCUGCUCCAAGCUAACUCAGGUUGCUAGCAGAACGCUUUCCUUGUUUCUGUAGGAUUGAGGGGCCUAGCUUUUUUCUGGCUACUAGCUAGAGGCCACCUUCAGCUCCUGGAGGCCACCCUUCUUUCCUAGAGGUCACCUGCAGUUUCUUGUCAUGUGGGCUUUCUUAACCCAACUGCUUACUUUAUCCAGCCAGCAAGGAGUCUCUAGAGCAAGUCAGCUCGCAACACGGAGUAUUAUAUAAUACAACAUAAUCAUGGGAGUGACAUUUCAACAUGGUUUCUUAAAGGUUCAUUGCAAUGUUGAAUUUGGAAUCACAACCAAUGAAAUAUUCAUACUCCAUUACAAUGCAUUGGUUCAUGUGGUACUUUGACUGAUCUUGUAUUCCUGUGUGAUUUAAUACCAUACAUUGGUCAUUUGGAAACUAUUAGUUCACUGAGUUGUAUCAGUUUUCCAAACGUUGACAUAUUUCAUUAUAUAAUAUCAAAAACUACGCAUAUUAACAUUACUAUCAAUUUCAUCAGAAACAUCUAAGUAUUGAGAAGCUAUCAAGCUCACAGUGGUGGAUACAGGUGUUAAAAAUUUUUAAUUUUUGGAUUAUGAUUGACAACAAAUGCUGUCAUCUGUUUUCCUUCAAGUGCCGAGGUGUACAUCAUUCAUUCUCAAGAAAUACCUAUCAAAAUCUCAAGAAUAAAUAUCCAGAGUUCAUCUGCCAGUCAUUCCCUUCAAGCAAAAAUGGUGCACCAUAAAAAAACCAGUUAGUUCAGCCUGCAGCUCAGUCAGUCAAUCAAUCAGAGGAGUGCUUUUCUCUGAGGUGACCACUGUACUUCAGUAUGCGGCAGAAUGCUUUAUGUGUACUUCCCAUUUCCUUACACACAAUGUCAAAAACAUGUGAAAUCAAAGGUCAAGAGAUAAUGAAAUUUUACCUGCUUCAUCAAGGGCAUGCUUACAUUAUUUUUUAACUACCAAUGAGUGGCAGUGAAUAAUAUUAAUACAAUGACUGCUAGUAUAGUUUAGUGUCACUACCUCCAUUCAAGCUAAGGCAUCAGUAGUGCCAGUGUUGAACAUAGUUGUUUCAAGGAUAAACCAUGAGAUUCCAAAAGUUAUUAGACACAUUGACUGUUUAAGCACCAGUGUUUAUUUUCAGAAUUUCACAUUUAAAAAAAAUCUUCAAUCAGCAUCAGCACCAAUUAGUCAUUUUAUAAUCCAUUUGUAAGGCAAAGGUACAGCUCUGCAGUUGGGAUGUGAACUCAGUCGUCAUGUUUGUAGACAAACCUUUCAUUUGAGGAGUUACUGUGUCAUUAGGAAAUGGCACUGCCAUGUUUUUUUUAAACUAACUUAUCCAGCAGGCCUUCAGCAAUGUCAGUGGUACAAAGUUUUCUUAGUGUCUCAGUUACUGUGUGUUUUUCUCCAGCUAAUGCAGUAUGAUACCCUAUAAGGUCUUUCAGUGGCUUUUUCUCUUCUCUCUUGAAAAACUACAACAACGUUUGUCUUAUAAAGUUCUCAUCAUGUCUGCAUUAAAAAAAAUCAAUUCCUUUUCCUUUAAAUCCUUAGUGAUUAUUUUCAAAAUGAUGUUGCAACUGAACUAUUUGAAAAUAUUCUGUUGCGUAAGACAUAGUAUAAAUUACUAAAUAUCUAUAAAGACAAGGUAAAGACAACUUUGUUAAUGUUUUUGUUUAUUUAUAAUUUUCCUCAGGGUUGUUUUGAUUUUUUUUCUUAAGUAGUUGCUUCCCUUCCAUGGAUCAGAGGCCUCUAAUGUGUCAGUUUCAUCUUUUUUAGUAUCUUUAGGCAUAAAAAGUAUGUAUACCUGUGGGUAGGAAAGCAGGCUUUCUAAACCUCUUUUUUUUUUUUUUUGAGACGGAGUCUCGCUCUGUUUCCCAGGCUAGAGUGUAGUGGUGCGAUCUUGGCUCACUGCAACCUCCGCCUCCCAGGUUCAAGUGACUCUCCUGCCUCAGCUUCCCAAGCAGCUGGGAUUACAGGUGCCCACCACCACGCCCAGCUAAUUUUUGUAUGUUUAGUAGAGACGGGGUUUCAUCAUGUUGGCCAUGCUGGUCUUGAACUCCCAGCCUCAGGUGAUCUGCAACCCCUUAGCCUCCCAAAGUGCUGGGAUUACAGGCUUGAGCCACUGUGCCCAGGCUCUAAUCCUCCUCUUUUAUGUUGGAUUUUUUUUUCGUUAAAACGUACAUAACAUAAAAUGUUCCAUUUUAAGUGUAUAGUUCAGUAGCAUUAAGUAUAUUCAUAUUGUUGUGCAACUGUCGCCACCACCCACCUACAAAACUUGUUCAUCUUCCCAAACUGAAACUCCAUACCCAUUAAAUAAUAACUCCCUAUUCCCCACUCCCCCAGGCUCUGACAACCACCAUUUACUUUCUGUCUAUGAAUUUGACUACUCUAGAUACCUCAGAAGUGGAAUCGUGCACUAUCUGUCCUUUUGUGACUUUAUUAUUUCAUUUAGCGUAAUAAUGUCUUUGGUUAAUUCAUGUUGUAUCAUGUUUCAGAAUUUCCUUCCUUAUCAAGGUUAAAGAAUAUUUCUUUGUAUGUAUGUACCACAUUUUGUUUAUUCAUUUAUCCAUUGAUGGAUGCUUGGUUCCUUCCACUUUUGGUUAUUGCAAAUAGUGCCACUGUGAACAUGAGUGUACAAGUGUCUGUUCUACUCUCUGCUUUCACUAUUUUCGGGUGUAUACCCAGAAGUAGAAUUGCUGGAUUAUAUAGUAAUUCUAUGUUUUAUUUUUUGAGGAAUCCCCCUACUGUCUUCCACAAUGCUGUAUCAUUUUACAGUCCCAUCAUCAGUGAGCAAAGGUUUCAAUUUCUUCCUAUCUCUGCCAACAUUUAUUUCUGUUUUAAUAGCCAUUCUAAUGGGUGUGAAGUGUCUAAUCUCUUUUAAGGCAACAAUCCAUCUUUAAAUAUAAAAAGUUAGAUAUUUAUUUUAGAAUGAUAUAGUAAAUUCUAAAUUAUAGUUUUCAUACAACUAAAAUAUUUAGAAUAAUUUUUGAAAAGAUUUAAAAUACUAUUGUAAAUCUGUGAAAUGACAAAUCAAAAGGGCAAAUAACCUUUUAGACUUGAGAAAGAGUUUUGACUUUGCAGAUUUUCAAAAAAGGUAUUGGGAUACCUAGGGGUUUGUAGACCAUACCUGAAGAACUGCUUGAUGAAAUAUAGUAUUAGAAACAUGGUCUCAGCUUCUCAUGAAACUCUUUCCAUAGGUGGAUAAAUAAUGAUUUCUUUUGAUUUACAAAUUUGUUUACUAAGAACUUAAAAAAUGUUUUUUCACAUUCUACAACAAAGAUUUUAUUUAACAAUAACAGAAAAAGAAAUAACAAAUCAGUUGCCAUGGAAUUAAAGUUGGGAAAGAAGAAUGUUUUGUUCUUGACUGGGAAACCAUUUAGAACUGGCAAUAGAAGGCAGGAAUAAAUUGUACUUUUCUGACAAUAGGAAUGUUUUAAGUCUGUUCUUAAUCUUUAAAAAAAUUUUUUUAAGAUCAUUUAAGGAGGGUGUAUGUAUCAGUUUUCAAGUUAAGAGAUUUCUCUGAAGCAGCAAUUACAACACUUAUUUAAAAUAUUUGAAAUAUGUUGUUAGAAUACCAAUUAGGUAAUUACAAGAAAUUAUUGAAAUUUCAUUCAAGAAAAAAUUACAGGCUGGUUUCGGUGGCUGACACCUGUAAUCCCAGAACUAUGGGAGGCCCAGGUGGAUGGAUCACUUGGGGUCAGGAGUUUGAGACCAACCUGGCCAAUAUGGUGAAACCCUGUCUCUACUAAAAAUACAAAAAUUAGCCAGAUGUGGUGGUGUGUGCCUUUAAUCCCGACUACUCGGGGGGCUGAGGUAGGGGAAUCAAUUGAACCUGGGAGGCAGAGGUUGCAGUGAGCUGAGAUUGCGCCACUGCCCUCCAGCCUGGGUGACAGAGUGAGACUGUCUCAGGAAAAAAAAAAAAAAAUUGCAGGAAAACUCAGGCAUAUUAUUUUGUUUUAUAACCCAAAUAUAUCAUUGCUUUAAAUGACAUACCAAAACCCAUCAGCAUUUAAAUAAGCUUAUUUCUUUUUCUUCCCAUCAGCCAUCUACUGAAUAUUGGGAGUGUGGUGCUGAACCGCAGCCUCACCUGAGGUCAGGGGAAGACUCAGUUUUUUUGCUUUCACUGCACAGUUUGCAUAUUUAAACAUUCUUGAAAAGAAUUGCUCUAAAUAUCACUAAUUAUCUCCAUGCGUAUAGCUCUUAUCUUUUAUUUUUCAUGAAACCAAAGGUUGUGAUCUCUCAUCUUUACAAUAUGACAUCUUUUUACUUAGAUUUAGAUGCUAUAUGAAACCGUAAUGCCUCUCUUUAAGCUCCAAUUCAGAUAGUAGAUUUGGAUAGCAUAAAUGUUUAAUACUGUAUGUAAAUGUCCACAUAUAGGUUGAAAUUAUAAGAUGUGUAACAUAGAGUAGUAAUCAUCAAAUAGGUGACAGAUAUCCAUGUGGCUAUUCAUUGGGGAAUGUGACUGUGAAUCACUGUAUUAAAUUCACCUCCUGCAGUCAUGGGCUAGGCGGUGUCCAUUGGUGCUGCCUAGCAUUCUUAGUUUUGGCCAUUUUGUUUAGGUAGAUAGUUGUCUAUUAAGCAAGAUACUUACUGUGUGUUUUGUAACUAAAAAUUGUUUGAGAGAAAUUUUAGAUCUUCCCUUUGGUUUCAACAUUAUGAAGUAUGAAAUUAUGAAUAGUGCUUUAGAUUGUCCCAUGCAGUUAAUGAUGAAAACCAGUUGGAGAAGGUGAUGAGAGCACUCUAAGAAAACUACUUAUUUGUGCAAAAAAGUGGGGAGAUGAUGCUUAAUGUGGGGAUGCUUCAUUGCACAUUGGGCCACUUGUUGCUAUAGUCUCAAAGAUCAUGAUGUUAAACAUCAUCAAGAUGAUACAAAAUCAAACCUUUCUCUGAACGUUUGCCAUCCUGUCUCCUGUUUGGGCCUGGAAUAUUGAGCUGAGAUUUUGUAAGUGUGUGGCAAAAUUUAUAACGGGGCUACAAGACACUCAGAGUAAUGGUUCCAAUGACUGGAGGUGUGUGUGCUGAUCAUUACUGUUGGAGUCAAGAUAUUGGGGCCUCCUUUGUGAAGGCAAGGUCUGAAAGGGAAUGAAAUUUCAUAGAUGAAGGCUACAAAGUCACAAAAUGUACAGUAAAGUAUGAAUUCACAUCUGCAAGGGAGAGCUUGUUGUACUCUGAGUGAGCCAAGUCUUGCUUCCAGUGAGUGUCUGGUUCAUUCCUCACAUAGGCAGCAUAGGUGGGAAGUAUAAAGAACUUGGCUGUGUUUAUGAAAGAGACAGCUUUAACUUCUCAGUGGGGCUGGACUGUAGCUCACCUUUAGGGUUGAUGUUGGGAAGACAAAUAGGCUGCUUUGUGCCGCCUUCUGUAUUAGCAAGGCAAAGAACAGCUUGACAGUUUCUUUGCUCUUCUGACAUGAUUCUGUCCAUCUAGCUGGAAUAGGGGGCUCAAUUUCUGAGGACAGGUAGCUGAGAAUAUUGUGGUUUGGGGACCUCUCAAAAAUACGGAGAGUCUUGUUUGCCUGGAUAGGAGCUCUAUUCCAAAGGUGAGGGAAGGAAGUGAUAAUGACUUGUUAAAAGCAACCUUUUAGGUAGAUUGACCAGGGGCAGAGUUUACAGGAUGAAUGGGAAAUGAGAAAGAGUGAAGUUCAAACAGGUAAGCUGUUGUAACUGAGGUGUAUAAGCUGUUAUAACUGAGGUGUAUGAGCUGUUGUAACUGAGGUGUAUAAGCUGUUGUAACUGAGGUGUAUAAGCUGUUGUAACUGAGGUGUAUAAGCUGUUGUAACUGAGGUGUAUAAGCUGUUGCAACUGAGGUGUAUAAGCUGUUGUAACUGAGGUGUAUAAGCUGUUGCAACUGAGGUGUAUAAGCUGUUGUAACUGAGGUGUAUAAGCUGUUGUAACUGAGGUGUAUAAGCUGUUAUAACUGAGGUGUGUAAAUCCGGCUGCUGUUAGUUCUGAUUUCUGGAUACUUUAUUUCUACUACUUCAGGCAAUAUUUAGAGUAGAAAAUCCACUAACUUGCAUUGGCUGGCAAAGAAGGUGAAAUAGAUCCAUGUGGGGUUUUGGGAAAAACACUGAACUUGGCAUCUGGCCCUGGGGAUAGCCCUGACUCUUCUAUGAAUAUGAACUAGCUCUGAAACCGUGGGCAAGGCCCUUGAACUCUCAAGACCUCAGGCAUAGAGUAGCUUAUCUCUAAAGCUCAUCCCCAGCCAUAAGAGUGUUUUCUAGUGUCUUAUUUAUUACUUUCAAGUACACAUUUCUAAGUACUAAUAACUUUUACAUGCUGCCAAGGAGUGGUCUUUUAGGGGCCUAUUAUGAUGAAGUAUGAUGAAUAGAUAACUCAUUUGUAAUUAACUGUGUGUAUGUCCAUGCAAACAAUUUCUGAGCUCUAAGUUUCUCAUAAUAAUUCCCUUCCCAUAAGUAGGGUUAAGCCCUUGAAAUUUUGUUUGCAUUUUUAAUUUAUACGGAAAAUGAAUUUUUCUGAGAUACCUAUAUCUCGUCUCCCUAAUUAGAUUGUAACCUCCUUGAAAGCAUUUUGCUUUGUUUUGUUGUUUGCUUUUUGGUUUUAAUCCAUUAUAAUGCCUUAAAUAGCACUAUGUGUAUUAGGGACUUAAUACAGUAGUAGAUGAGUGAAUGAGAAGUUAGAGCAUAAACUUUAGUUCAGACCAAAUUAUUGUGAACUUUGAAAUAUUGUAACAGAAAUUAAUAAAGAUGUAAGUCUAUGAUCUUAUAUUACUGUCCUUAAUUAAAUAAUGUGUGUGUGUAAUUAUUAUUGCCGUGGCUACAUGUAAAUGUGACUUAAAAGGUCAAUCACAGUGAACUGCUACAGAAAAAAUGGUAGGAGUGGAUUCAUAACCGUGUAACUUUUUUUCUCUAUACUGAAAGGAAAUAUCAUUUUCUCCCCAAGAUCAGUCUUUGAGUAACUUUGCGGAUCUAGAAUAGUGCCUUGCAAUUGGGGAAGGGAGAAAGGGAAAGUAAACUGAAGAGUUCAGAAGUGACAGUGGUCAGUUACAUAGAGAACAAAGUACUUUGUUAGUUUUCUGGCCAGAUAGAAAAGAACACUUUUCUUGACUGGAGAUGAUUUCUGAGAUGAAAGCUUUCUAAGAUAUGGGGUGCCUGGCCUCCACAUCUAGUUUCUUUGGGAGCCAGAGACAAGAGGGGAUAAAAAGAGAAGCUUGAAGGAGGAGGAAAAGGAGGGGAGGGUACAUGUAGUGGGAAUGAGGGGCAGAGUAGCAGACAUUAUUGCAGAAAAGUGGGGGAGGAAAGAACCAGGCUGGAGGGGCUCCAUAGCCUGGAAGGAAGCAGCCCUCUCCCUACACCAGUAGCUCCCUCAACCUUUGUUCUCCUUCCACCUAGCAUAUUAAUUGCUGUUCAUGAUGAUAAAUCUGACCACUAGUUACAGGGAAUGGGGCUUUUUAACCUAUAUUUUAGGACUUUGCAUCAUAAGCCAAUUAAAAGAGAUGUCUAGUUAUUUAUCAGAAAUAUUUCUAUAAAUACAGAAGCUGUGUAUUUUUUUCCUGACAAUAUCUUAGUUGUUUGGUCCUUUAAGGAACUGAGCUUAGUAGGUAAAUACUCUAGACAGCUGUGUAAAUUUUGUAAAUAAAAAUCAGAAAGCUAACUAUUCAUUUAUGUAGCCAGCAUUCAUUGGCUGGCAAACGUGUCAGAAACUUUGCCAGCCAAUGGAAAUACAAUAAAGAUACUAUGUAGUUCCUACCCUCUUGUAGGAAGCUAUAAUUCUGUCUGAUGGUGCACAUCACUUAUAAAGCACCAUGUCUCAGAGAGGCUGCUUUGGAAAUGACCACUCUCUUCUUGGGAAAUUGGGAUUUCAGAAGGCCUCCUGGAAGAGAUGAAACUUGACUUCUCUGCUAUCUUAAAUUAUUGACUCAAAUGUGAUCUGUUAGCUAAAGCCACAGAGACUGUGUGUCAACAUAGGUGACUGAGGACAGCUCAACUUGGCUGGUGGCUAUACCAUUCAAUCCAUCUGCUCUUCUCUUGCCACCCUGAGUCCGGCUGUAUCUCAAGUGUGAUGCUGGAGUGAAAUGUAAGAGGCACUCUGAAAUUGACCCAGGUCUCUAUACUCUGCAGUCUCUAUACUGUCCUUCUCAUAACUAGUUUUCACUCUUGAUAUCUUUUCCACUAGAAUGUAAGCAGAUUUGUGGGCAAGAUAACCAUAGCAAUAUGGUAGUGGUGAUGGUGAUGAUAAUAUGUAAAAUUCAUGGAGCAUUACUGAACACCAGUAUGUAUGCGUGACCUCAUCUGAUGCCUAUAGGCUCUGCAGCUGGUAGUGGGGUGGAGGGGCUGUCAUUCUCUCCUGACUUAGCAGUGAUGUCAUUGAGACUUAAAGAGGUUAGAUGACCCUCCCAUAUCAGUCAGCAGCACCAGGAGAGAGAUGGUUACUUGUCCUUUUUUUGUGGAUGUGUCCAUACAACUUCCCUGCCACAUGCCCAGCUAAUACAGGUUUUUGUUUGUGGUAAGUAAUAAGCGACAGAUUCUGCUCUGUAGGGUGAGUAAGUUCCAUGGUUUCUCCUCGUUGUGAUUGGUAUACCAUCAGAGUGUCCCCGAUGCCCUUGGGUACUAAGGCAUUGAAAUACACAUCACUGUUUGUCCUUCUGCCUUGCUCUUCUCCUUUCAUUUUACCAGCAAAGACUGUUUUCUUUUGUCAGAGUCUACAGCUCAGCACUCCUGCUUAGUUUCUGCUCUUGGGCAUCACCUCUGUCACUGUGGCUCAUCCCCAGGCCCUUUCAGACACUGAUGGCACCUGCUGAGCCCAGGGUUAACUACUUUCUUUACUCCUCUUUAUUCCUCUACUGUCUUAUAGCGUCUCCAAGUAUGUCUUAGCAGCCACUGCAAGAGGUUGGCCAGCUAGGUAGGCAUUUGUUUUGCUUGACUUGACCAGUCACUCACUGUCAGAGCAUCUUCCUAUUUGUGGCCUUUCUUCUGGGCUUUUCCCUCGGUGGGUGUGGGAGCUCAAGACUGCUACUUUGUUCUCAGAGGUUGUUGUUUGUUUAGUUAUUGUGUACAGCUGCCAAGUUGGAGCUGUUUAAGAACCAUGAUAUCAGAAAGAUGCUUCAUUGCAAUAGUAGCUGUUGAUUAGAAACAAAACAAUCUAUUAAUUUCCUAACUUUAUUAUCAUUUAUGUUCUAUCUCCUUCUAAAAGAAAUUAUGACAAAGUUUUCUUUUUUAAAUGAAUCCCAACUAGCAGUGAUCUCAUACUUUAUUCAUAAUAAAUUUUGUUUGGAUACAUGUAUUUUAUAUUUUUAGCUCUCUGGUUUUGACAGAAUGACUUUCCCCUCCUUUGGGCAAUUUGAAUGUUCUUCUAUUAUGUAGAUACUUAACAUCUGUGAGAGGUUAUAGAUUCUUGAUUUUUACACGAUGGUCUAAGGGAGACAUCUCAGUAUGGACAGGCAGCAUAGCGUGUUUGUCAUUUGUGUGGGCUCUUGAGCAAGAUUUUCUAGAUUGAAGUACAAGCUCUGCCAUAUACUAGUUGUAUGAUCUUAGGCAACUUACAGUCACUGUGCUUCUGUUCUUAUCUGUAAGAUGGCGUUGCAGGGUUGCUGUGGAACGCUAAAUGAGGUCACAUUUCUGAACUGCUUAUAUGGUGCUGGACACACACUAACAAUCUAAGUGUGUCUUCUGUAUCAUGUCUGUGUUUCUCAAGCAGACUUUGAGCAGGUCCAGCUAUGGUAUCUCUUCCCAGUAGCUACAUGGGGCCCAACACAUAGUUUCUACUCAGGUUUGUGAGUAGAUACAUGAAUGUAUAAAUUAACAGCAUACGCUUUACUAAAUUUCCUUAGUUAAUUGUUUUUUAUUUAAUAAGUUGUUCUUCCAAGUUCCAGUUCUCUACUCUUCAGAUGACUCUGCUUUAGUUAUGGGUUUUUUAUUGAUUCAUUAUAAUUACUUUGCUGAUGUUUUUUUUUCUGGCUGUCAUAGCAAGCAGCAGUCAUUAGCUACAAGAAGACUCAGCAAUUUAGUAAGAACUGUCUUGGUUUUGAGUUGUCUACCAAAUAUAACUUAACCUAAGACAGUAAUAUACAUGGUUUCAUUACAAUCUGUAUAUUGUUAAACAUGCAUAAUUUCUAAAUUUAUGCAAACAAACAUUCAUUGCUGUGUGUCUCCUAAUGCUGUACUUGAAAUGAAUUUGCUUUUGGUUUUAAAGGCAUUCAUUUAAUGGUUGGAGUGAACCUUUAAAAUAUUAAUUGCAUCUUGCUUUUAAAAAUUUAGACAUUAAGCCACUCCCAUGAAAACUCAAGUUAUAAAGAACCUAAGAAUUAUUUAAAUAGUUCAGAAAAUAUGAUAUGUAGGCUUCUUUUAAUUCAUAGCAAUAUGUAAAUUAUUGACCCUCUGAAACCCCUUGAUGCUAAGAAAGCAGUUCUCGUUUUCCUCUUCCAUUCGUUGAUACAGCUGAACUGGCAUUUUCUCUUCCCUUUUGUAUAGAAUGGACUUAGGCUGGAAAUGCUUUUGGAUGAUGUGGUACUUGCGUGUGGUGUCAUCUCUGCUAGAGAUGCAGGCCCCUGCCUGUUCUCCUCCUGGCUCUCUCUGGCUGUGGGGCUCACCAGUGCUGAGACAGCUGGAGCUGACUGGAGUCAGCACUGUAAUACACUGUUAGAGGUUGAGGAUAGGUGUGCUUGGUUGAUUUAACACUUUAUUUACCUGGUGAGUUCAGCUUUUGUGGUCUUGGAUGAUUCCUGUGCUUUGUUCAGUAGAAUCAGUCUUCACUGUCCCCUUAGAUAUAAGCCCCUGUGGAGUUCCAAAUCUGUUAGUCCUGUCCUGUGAUUUGGUUGCUCAGGCGGUUCUUGCCCUUGCUAUGGGGAGCCUUGAUACAUGGCUUGUAGGUCCUGCCAUGUUAAUUGACUGUUAGUCUAAUAUCGUAUCUCUGUAUUGUAAGGUUUUCAGGUUACAAACCUCUUAUCUCUUCCUUCUGGGGACCCACUUCCCCCUAAUCUCCCUUAUUUUAGAGUUACUGAAGUAGCAACUAGAACCUUGCAAUAAAUAGCUCUCUCUGCCUUGACAUCAUCUAGCCUUUGGUCUGAUUUUUGAAUAUUUGAUUUGGAUAUUUGACUCUUUUUAAAGUUACACAGUAGCUUGAGGGUGCCCUAAAGAGAACUGCCUCUGGCCAGCAGGCUGGGGUGCUGCUAUUUUUGAAGACAGGCCACCCUAACCUUGCUACACUAGAAGUUUGUGCGCAAGUACCCUGGGACACAAGGUACAUUUGAAUGUGUCUCUGUAAUCACCAGCAAAAGAAGGGGAGUUGGAUCUAAGUUUACUUUUCUUAUGGCAGUAUCUGUUUUGUAAAUCAAUGAAUACCCAUACAUUGUUGCGGCAAAGUUUUUUUUCCAGUUAAAAAUGAUAACUCUUCUAUCUGGUGGUUCUCAACAUGAUGACAGCAUGCAUGUGUGUGUGCUCUUUUUUUCAAUUAACAAUAAAAUAACUCCUCUAAUGCUGAUGCAAUAGGCCGGUGGUUCUCAACCUGACAGCAGGAUGUGUGUGUGUGCACGCAUGUAAAUGAAUAUACAUGCUUGAGUGUGGUUAUAUUAUAUAAUGGAAUCACCAGUGAGACUUUUCCACAAUAAACAUGUCUAGUUUCUACCCACUCCCACACAUUUGGUUUCCCAGGGGUGGUGGCGAGUGUUUGAGUCAUCUACAAGUUCUCAUCUGCUUCCCCUUAUGGUGUCUUUCAGGCACACUCAUGAGAGGGUUGUAAUCAUUUGUCAUGGAUCAUAACAACAAUAUGGAAUACAACCAUAAUAACAUAUACUGAGCAAUUACUGUGAAUCCACUGCACAAUCAGAAACCGUGCCGUGUUUUUAAUGGAUAUUUUUCUCUUGCACUAAGCUAGGGCAUUGACUUCAUAAUUCUACCAUGAUAGUGUUUGAAUUUGAAAUAAAACUUGAAAAAAAUUAUUUUUCUUGGGGGGGGAUGGGAUAGUUGGGUUUCGUAAAUUGAUCAGAGUGUAUUGUUUUUAACUCUACCAGAGAAAUCAAAAUAACUUAUUUACAUAUCUUUGUACUGCAGGCUAGAGCUAACAAAUAUUUAUAAUAUUGUGUGGCACUAUUCAUACUACAUGGCAGAUGAGGAACCUUGGGCAUAGAAAGUUAAAUGAUAUGAUGAUAGGAAUACCUAGUGUUUAAUGUGUGCUUAAUAUGUGCCAGGCACUUUCUAAACACUUUGCAUAUGUUAAUCUAUUUAAUCCUCACAACAAUUCCAGGAAACAUUUACUAUUAUCAUUAUUAUUUUGUAGGUGGGUAAACUGAGUCUUAGAGGUUUAGUACCUAGCCCAUGGUCACCCAGCUGGCAAUCGGCAGAGCCCGGUUCCAAGCCCAGCCUGUCUGGCUCAUGUUGCACAAUUCCCUUGGAAUAAAAUGGGGAUUUGAACUGGGUCUUCUGCUUCAGUACUUUCUCUUAGAGCUACAUUGCCCCGGUUUUUAAAGGGUUUUCUCACUUUUAUUUGGUUUUAAUUUUUUUAGAGACAAGGUCUUGCUUUGUCACUCAAGCUGGAGUGCAAUGGUGGGAUCAUAGCUCACCGUAACCUUGAACACCUGGGUUCAAAGGAUAUUCUCACUUCAGCCUCCUAAGGAGCUGGGACUACAGCAUGUGCCACCACACCUGGCUAAUUUUAAAAAUUGUUUUUUUUUCUUUUCUUUAUGUUUCUCAUGCUGGUCUCAAACUCCUGGCCUCAAGCAGUCCUCCCACCUUGGCCUCCCAAAAUGCUGGGAUUAUAGACAUCAGCCACUGUGCCCAGCCAGUUUUCUCACUUUUAAAUGAUGGUUUGUAAAGAGUGAUACUUUAUUUAGAUCAGUGGCCCUCGUUGGGGGUGGCUUUGUCCCCUAGGACAUUGUGCAAUGUCUAGAGACAAUUUUGGUUAUCACAGCAAGUGAGAAGGUACUUUUGGCAUCUGUUAGAGUGAGGCCAAGGAUGCCGCUAAACAUCUUACAACGUAGUGGACAGCACUACCCACAGCAAAGAAGUGUCAGCCCAAAUGUCGGUAGUACAGAGGCUGAGAAACCCUGUUUUUAGAGUGUUUUGCAUGAUGCCUUUUUCUCUAAGAGGAAUCAAUACUUUAGUGUACAGUUCUGCAAGAUAUUUUUUUAGGCUGAAGAGUAACAAGGAAGCAGGGUAGAGCUGAUACUAAACUUACAUAGGGAGCGUCUUGGCUUUGAGACUCUUCAUCCAUGACUGGAUUAGUUAUUUUAAAAACUCUGCUUGCGUGGACUCACAGGAUCACAAAUUCCAAACUUAAGGACCUUUCAUCUUCUGGAAUAUAGCUGGGCUUGAGGUAUUAUAUGGAGUGUGUGUCUAUGGGCAUCGGUGUGGUGAAUACUUCUUUGUAUAUAUAUAUUUUUUGUGUGUGUUGUACAAGAGUGACUUCAUAAAAGGUGGCUCUUGCCAGAAUUCAGAACACAGCAGGUAAUGUACUUACUGAAGAGGUAAGAGCAUGAGUAAUUCUUGUCUCAUGAGAAAGAUGUAAACUAGUUUAUUAUAAUGAUGUAAUAUUUGGGUGCCUGAUUUAUCAUCCCCAUCUCCAAUGAUGCAAAACCUUAAGAACUACACAGGUGAUAAAAAUUCAAAUGGUGUCUUUGAAGUCCGGCCUAUUCCCCUGAGCAGUUAAAAGUGUCACCUUUGUCCUGAUACGUUGCUGUUUGUGGAUGUUUCCGGAGAUCACGGUUAAAAUCUUGAACUAUGCACUCUACUAUGGGAAGUUUUGGGAUGUUUAUUCCGUGAGAGAGGUCAUAAUCUGGGAAGAUGAGAGUCAUUCAGCUAAUAGGGCAGGAAAAUAUCACAGUCAAGCUGUAGACUUGGGAUGAUGGGAGUAUGGAAGAGAUGAUUCCUCCUGUGUACUGAGGGGAACCAGGAGAGGGAGAGUUGUCAGGAAGCGUGUGGUCUUUGAACUGGAUCUCGUUUUAGGAGAAACUUGAGUUGUCCCGGUUGAGAACCAGCUUAGGCAAAAGUGUGGCCACUUUAGGGCAGGCUGGGGGCGGGGAUAUGAAAGGAAAUCAUCAUCAUCAUCAUCAUCAUCAUCAUCAUCACAACAACAGUAAUAAUCAUAAUCAUGGCCGCCAUUUUGUGAGUACUGCUCUGGGAAGGCACACUCUAGAGGUUUUAAGAUACACUCAUUUAAUCCUUGCAGCAAUCUCAUGGGGUUGGUAUUAUUAUAGCUGUUACAGACAGGAAAUCCAGGGUCUAGUAAGGCCAGGGUCCGGUCCCUCCUGACAGUACUCUUGUGCCCCUCGAGCAGCAGUCCCUUCUGGUUCAUUCUUGGUGGUUCCCAGGGAGCGCGAGGAAUGAUGUCAGCAGAGCCGUGCUGUGACUGGAUGAACACAACCCUGGGAACAAUGCCUUUGGCACAGCUCUUUAAAAAGAAGUAAGUUGGGGCUUCAUCUAAGGAAACUGGCUCUGUUCUACUCAGUCUCGUAGGAAUUCUUAGAAAUGUUGUGACCUGGAAAAUUGGAGAGGUAUGAUUUGAUUAAUUUGCACAUUUAAGUAUGACAGUGUAACUAGAGAGUAAACAAAUGGUAAUUAUGCCACAAAGCUUUCCUCCAAUGGAGAGUCAGGGUCAAGGCAAUCUGGAAUCUUUGGCUUUUCAGAUUAGUUGUGAACAUGGAACAACAAGCUCAUUCCUCCCCUCUACCCAGGGUGGACCCCUGUGUGGGGGAUGGGGAAGUAGUUUUCCUUGCUUGGCUACAAUAGCUUAGAUUACCAUACACUCAUCUCUGACUUAGAUUUUAUACCUUCUUUUCCCCCAUCCUACCCUGUGAAGACAAUUGAAGGCUAGGGUUUGGUUAGGAAAGUAGCAAGUUAAUAAUGUAUCAGAAAGUUGUUGGCAGUUGUGUUUCCUUGAAUGACUCUUCUUUGAAGCUACAUUGUUACAGUGAUGUGUGUAAUUUGACCUACUGUUCAAAAAGAAUUCAUUUCCAUCCCUUCCUUGUUCGUUCAUUCAUCAUGCGUUUAUAGAAGCCAGUCCUUGACCCAGGGGGACCCAUAGUCUAGACUCUGGAGGAGAGCACAAACAUGGGAACCAGUAAGUAUAGCUGUGGAUGUGAAAAGUAAAGAGACAGAAGUAGAGAGCUUCCUUCUAAAGAGAGAGGGGAAAGAGUGGGAGGCAGCCUUUAUUUCUAGGGGUACUUUCUCUCUCUUGUUCCAUCCUCCGUCCUGGACUGAUACCCUCCCUGCCCUUUGCAUCCAUGUUUUUUUUCCCUCUUAUCCAGAGUGAGUCUCCUGGGAAACCCAGGCCUUCUUUCUGGGAGCUCCUCUCUCUUCUUCGUCACUCAUGCCCAGGGUCACACUGGAGCUUCACCACCUUUUUCUGAUACUGAUAAGUUUCUUCAGCUUUGCAUUCUUGCCUCAUUUUUCUGUCAUCUGACCCUAGCCGAUCCUAUCACUUGUUAUGGAGGUAGCUAGAAGCACGUGAGAUAUGGAAAGUGUUGUACUGGAAAAUACACAGCAGAUAUACAAAUAACUCCACCUGGGCGAGGGAGCAUUUUCUUAGGCUGGGUAUCACCUUGGGUUUGAGGUGCACCUUCUCCCUAGGUGUCAUUUUGGAGUCCCCGCCUUCUUAAAAAUGUGCUAUAUAAGUAUUGUCCACGUAUGACCUCAUUAAUUCAUUGAAUAUGGCAGAAUUGAUUGAUUGGGAUUUGGAAGGGCUCUAUAAGAGAGACUGUGAUCUUGUCAAUCUCUCUAAUAACAAUCUGCGUGACACAUACAAUUAAUCCCUUCCUUGGAAAGGAGUUGGGGGAGUAGAAUCAUAAAUUUGGAAGCAAACAUAUCUUUUGUUAAAGUAUAUUUUUAAAUUACAGUACUCAUCUGGAACACAGGUGACAUUUCUAUCAGCAGAAUUUCAAAUUUAUGCAGACUCGUUAUUCUGCUUUGAAAAGCUUUAUUUCCUUUGCUAACUACCAGAUGGGAUAUUAUAGUUAUGAAUCCCUAAUUCUAAUGAAAUACAAGCCAAUAGAUGUAUCACACUACGUUUUUCAAACCAUAGACUAUUACAGGCAUGAAGCACAAGAAGUCUAACCCAUUUUAAACUGAUUAAUUUAAUUAGGAGACAGGUUUGGAGGAACAGAAAAUUGCUUCUUGUUAGUUCUCUGAGCACUGCAGUUAUAAGACUGUAUGCUCUGCUCUAACACAGGUCUGUUCUCUCUGAGGUCAUCUAAUUCUCCUAAAAGGGGUUUUAGAUGCUGAGUUGCAUUUGUAAGUAAAUUCUUUAUUCUUUUUCUACCUUCUUUCUUUUUUAUUCCAUAGUCAUUAAAGCCUUGCCGUGUUCUUGUUAUGAACUGAUAAAUGCUUUGUAAUUACUCUGUAACUAAAAAUGUUAAACUUGAAUGGUUAUAUGGAUUUUUUUUUUAUUUUUUUAAAAACUCACUGGAGAAAGGAACAGUGUUGUGGGGGUAUAAAAAGAAUUCUGACAGAGAAGAGCAGAAAACAGAAACUAGGUGUGGUGGGGGAGGAAUGGCAGAAGUGCCAGGGUCUCUUGGUCCAUGUCUUGAGCAUUUACUGUUUGCCAGCCACCUUUAUGUGGGUUGACCAUAUAUACCAUACCAGGGCUUGAUAUCCCUAAAUCCUCAAAAAACUCCAUGAAAUUGCUACCUGUUUUCAGGAUGCAAAAGCUAAGGCACAAAAAUGUUAGUUAUCUUGCUCAAGGUUACACAGCUAGUAAGGUGGAGACUAAAUUUGAAUCCAGGUGGGAUGAUUGCAUCCUACAAAGUUCUUGACCAGAGAACUAAUGUGGGGUUGGACCCACCCAAGUUCCAGUCCUACUCUGCUGCUUCCCAACAAUGUGACCUUGGGUAAAGUUAUUUUAACCCCUUUGAGACUUUUCCCCAAUUUGUAAGUGGGUUUAAAGCACAGUAUAAGGUUGCCGUGACUUUUAAAUACUGUGAUGUGUAUUAAUGGUUUGGCAUGCAGAAGGAGCUUGGUGAACGUUGCCUUUUUGCCCUUUCAUGUCAUGUCCUGGGGAAGUAGCAGUGACAGCCUGCAGCCUCUGUUCUUCUCGAAUGUUCCCAAGGUAUGAGGCACCUCUGAGAACUCCCAGAGCUCUGCAUAGGUUGCUUAAACGUACAGCCCACUCAAUGAGAUAAUUUCUAAGGUUUCUUCUUGCCCUUAUCUUUAGUGACUCCAAAGUUUAAUUUUCAUAAAUUCAUGUCUACCUAGUUACAUCUUGCAAAGUGUAGGACUGCCUUUGCAGUUGAUCUGUCAGUUUGUGUGUGUGCACAGCUGGAAAAGUGUGUUUUCCAUGUAGAAUGAGAGAAUUUGCCUGGCACUGUCAUUUAUUUUUCUUAAGGAAAGAUAAAAGUUUAGUUCUUUGAUUUCUUUCUUGGGAUUAGUUUUUUCUUGACUAUCAAGAAAGAAGGGAAACAAGUUUGAGUGAAAAUAGAUUGAGGUUCCCCCCCCUCAUUUCACACUAUUAAAAGAGUGACACCCAACUUCUUAGGUUUCUCUUCCACAGCACGGGUGGGUUUUGUAGAUUAAUGUAUGCUACUGAGAUGUUGAGUCAGGGUUGGAUUAGGGAGGAGCUCCCCUCCUUGCAUUUCUCCCACUCUGUCCUUUCAGUCCCUCAACCAGCUAAGUUCAUGCCUGUAGUUGGUUAGAAGGGAGGUUUUCUAUACAGCUUGAGAGAAACAUUUAACAGGGUAUCUUCAUGUUUGUGUAGAUGUCAUUUGCUUCAUUAAAAGCAACAGAGUGACUUUUUAAUGAUUGCCAUUCUAACUGGUGUGAGAUGGUAUCUCAUAGUGGUUUUGAUUUGCAUUUCUCUGAUGGCCAGUGAUGAUGAGCAUUUUUUCAUGUAUUUUUUGGCUGCAUAAAUGUCUUCUUUUGAGAAGUGUCUGUUCAUGUCCUUCGCCCACUUUUUGAAACAACAGGUGCUGGAGAGGAUGUGGAGAAAUAGGAACACUUUUACACUGUUGGUGGGACUGUAAACUAGUUCAACCAUUGUGGAAGUCAGUGUGGCGAUUCCUCAGGGAUCUAGAACUAGAAAUACCAUUUGACCCAGCCAUCCCAUUACUGGGUAUAUACCCAAAUGACUAUAAAUCAUGCUGCUAUAAAGACACAUGCACACGUAUGUUUAUUGCGGCAUUAUUCACAAUAGCAAAGACUUGGAACCAACCCAAAUGUCCAACAAUGAUAGACUGGAUUAAGAAAAUGUGGCACAUAUACACCAUGGAAUACUAUGCAGCCAUAAAAAAUGAUGAGUUCAUGUCCUUUGUAGGGACAUGGAUGAAAUUGGAAACCAUCAUUCUCAGUAAACUAUCUCAAGAACAAAAAACCAAACACCGCAUAUUCUCACUCAUAGGUGGGAAUUGAACAAUGAGAUCACAUGGUCACAGGAAGGGGAAUAUCACACUGUGGGGACUGUGGUGGGGUGGGGGGAGGGGGGAGGGGUAGCAUUGGGAGAUAUACCUAAUGCUAGAUGACGAGUUAGUGGGUGCAGCGCACCAGCAUGGCACAUGUAUACAUAUGUAACUAACCUGCACAAUGUGCACAUGUACCCUAAAACUUAAAGUAUAAAAAAAAAAAAAAAAAAAAAAGCAACAGAGUGUAUACCUGUGACAUUUACUAAUGUGUGAGGUGUCUGAGGACCACCUGCGUGAGAAUCCCCUCGGGUUAUUACAUAAAGAGAUUCCUGGCCCACUACAGACCCACAGAAUCAAACUUGUAGUGUCAUUAUUUUGUGAUGUGAAAAUAUUCUUUUCGUGUAUUGAUCAAACCUCUGUUUGAGAAGCAACCAUGCAAACUUAUCACAUCAUUUGACCUUGUUCAGAUCUUGGUGCACACAUUUUCAGGGCUAAUUUUCUCCCACUGCAGCUUGCUGCUGCCAGUGAGGGCCUGCUUGCCCAAGUUCCUGGUGACCUCACUGGUAGGCUGGGCUGGGAGUGGUUGGUGACGUUGCCAGGGAGACUGAAGUUGGGGGCAUGCAGCCUGUGAAGCCAGGCAAGGCUGGAGCCAGGAAUUUGUAGUUCACAGAAUUAGAUGCAAGGGUGAGGUGGUUUGUGCUCAGAGGAGAUGAAUUUACCAAUCUUAGUGGGCAGAGGAGAGAAAUGGGAUUCAAAUAACUGAAAGGAGAGGUAGCAGGAGACUCCAAUGUGAUGGGGAUGGAGAUGGGGCAAUAGGGCCAGACCUUGGAUCAGGUCUUUUCCUCAAGGUAUUUAUGGUAUGACUUGACAGUCUAGCUACUGGGAAUUUUUGCGGUAAUUGAAUAUUUAGACAUUGAGUAUAAUGCAUUAUAUGGGUUAAGUGUAUAUAUUGCUUAUAUAAGUAAAGAGUAUAAUUGAAGAUAGCUAGUAACAGCUAAGAGUAUAGCUAGUAAAAACAUACUAGAACUAAAAAUAAGCUCAUUUCUGAAAAAUGCAUCCUUUACUACCCUAUACCUACUAUUUUAGAACAUUCUAGAAAAUGUAAGAAUACACAAGCAUACGUUCUUACAUUCUAGUGCAGUGGUCCCCAAACUUUGCUGCACAAAAGGGCCAUCUGGGUAAUAAUUUUAAAAACAUAAUGAUGUCUGGCUUCUACUCCUAGACAUUCUUAUUUAAAUUCUAUGGGAUAUGAUGUGGACAUUGGGGUUUUAAAAGCUCUCCAGUCCCUCAUUUUAUAGAUGAGAAGAUUCAGGACUAGCAAGAUUGUGAAUUUUUCCAAGGCCACGUGGUUUAAUAGUGGAGACCGGAUUGAAUAAAGAAAGGUCUUCUGACUCUUAGCUCAGGGCCCAGAAACCACUGGGCCUUCCAAACAAAGGGAAUUUAAGACAGGGCAUUGUCGACACAGGUGAUGCAAGAGUUGAAAAGGCAAACUCCAAAUGGUGAGGAACUCAGAGACCAGCAACAGCAGGAAGCAACUGCAUCAUCCGUAGGGUUGGAGAAAUGAUGGGAGCAGGUGGUGUUUCUGGAUCCCAGAGACUGGAGCAACCUUGGAGGGAGCUAGGACCAAGAUGGUAGUGGAAGACUGUGUCUGAUGGGAGCCAAGACUCUAGAGGGGGCUAGAGAUGCCACCUGAAGUGCAUGUGUUGGGUGGAUACCCUUGCUUCUCCCUCUUCCCUCUUGUUUUCUUGUCUUCCACCAAUGCUUCCUAUUGGCCCAGACCAGUUGGGAAGUGUGGUUUCCUUCAGGACAAUGGAGGCAGCAGACCUGAAAACAACCCAGCAGUAACUAGCCCUGUGGUCUUUCUAAUGUACUGAGGUCUUGUGAUUAGAGCAGAACUCCAUUUGGACACUGUUUCUCUUUCUUUCUUCUUUUUCUUUCUUUUCUUCAGAUCUUGCUCUGUUGCCCAGGCUGGAGUGCAGUGGUGCAAUCAUAGCUCACUGUAACCUCGAACUCCUGGGCCUGAAGUGAUCUUCCCAUCUCAGCCUCCUAAGUAGCUGGGACUACAGGUGGAUGCCACCAUGCCUGGCUCUUUUUUUUUUUUUUUUUAAUUUUUUGUGGAGACAGGGUUCAGCUAUAUUGUCCUGGCUGGUCCCAAACUCCUGGCCUCAAGUGAUUUUCCUUCCUUGGCCUCCCAAAGUGCUGGGAUUACAGGCAUGAGACACCACACCAGUCUAAUGGGCAGAUAAUUUCUUAUAUUCCUUUUCAUAAGUGGUGUGAUUGAUAGGCUUCUAGGUUGCUAUAAUAUACGUCUGCACAUUUUCAUUAAUACCUUCUUUCUGUGACGAUUCACCUCUCUCCCAUUCAACAUGUUUACAUUUUUACAUUUUUUAUACUUAAAAUAUAUAUAGUUUUAAAAAUACGCAUUGUAAUCUUAUCUGUGCUAAAUCUUAAACAUUUGUUCCUUUGAAGACUAGUUACUUCCUAGAUAUAUUGCCUAAAGCCAGAUGAUCCUAUGCAUGCAUAUGAGAUGACAGAUCUUACUUUACUAUAUCAUUUAAAAGCAUUUUUAAAGAAAAAUGGAAUUAUAGUACACUGCAUUUUAUUUGUUCUGCCUGAUGGGCCAAGUGCUUUGCACCCAGUGGAGCUGAGCCUUGCCAGCCUGCUGUUAUAACAGUAGCUCCCCUGUAGAGCUCAGCAUUCUUUAGACUUGGCUAAUGAGUCUGAUGUCAUAAAGGGAGCUUUAUUAAAAUAAAUAUGGUACCAUAUUUUCUUUCUAAUGGCAUUCUGAUUAAUUCCAUCAUAAAUGCAUACCUGACACUCUUUUAAUUAAUUGAGAUAGCAAAGGGAUUCCAGCUAGUGAUAUUGAAAGUGUAGACGGUGUUUUCAACAGCAUGUUCCUACCCUGACACCAGUAUCAGUGUUUAGUAUUACUGUAGAUCAGAAUCUGAAGACCUAUGUCUAUUUUAACAUAUGUCACUGAACGGCUGUGAGAGUAAUUAAAGAGUAAUGCUUGCCCCUGUUUUGAGGAUGUAGCUACUUAAACACUAAGAGAUUAAAUGUUGCCGAAGGCUACCAGCAAGGGAGUUGUGGAGGCAGGGUUAGAACUGGUUUCUAAUUUCUAGCCUUUUGCUUAAAUUGCCAACCAUGGGUCCCGGUAAUGUGUUCUGACUUUAUUUUCCUUCAGACUUAAUCUGCGGUUAAUGAUAGCUUUCACAAUCAGAAAGAACAUGUAGGUCUCGAAUUUAUGACUUCCAUAAAUCUACUACUUUCCAACAUACCCACAAGGAUGGUUUGGCAGAGACACAGCUUGUGGUACACCUAUUAUCCUUUAGUUAAUUGGGCUGUUUUUACUAUUUGGGAGAUCCUAUAUUUUAACAUAGUACGUGAAAUAUUAAUAGUAAAUAUGAAAUAUAAAUUUCAAACUUUAAACAUUUUGUACCAUUACCUAAUUUUUAAAAAUGCUUAUGACUAAACCUGCUGAACAUGGCAUGUUCGAAUGAUUAUUUUACUUCUGUGGUCUAUUCCUCUCAGAAACAUUGCCGUCCAGAAAAAUCUAAUGAUUUCUUCUUGUGGAAUAGUGGAAUGCUAGAUAAUGGCACAAAACCAGAUCCUUCAGACUGUAUAAAUGCAAUGUAAAAAUGGAGUGGAAACAUUCAGUUUUAGGAAGUUAGUGACUCUUCAUGUCCUGUAAAAUUGUGUGUAUGCAUGUAUUUUUUUUUAAAUGCCAGGAGGUUUGCCAAUGGGACUAUAGAGGAUAUGCCAGUGAGACAGAGAAGAUAUGACUUAUACAGACAAGCCAGAAUGCUCAUUAUCAGAGGGAUAUUUGUAGGAUAAAUCUUAUCUUUUACAGGACGUAAGAAAGAUAAAGAACUAUUUUAUGGUGGUUAAUUCAGCUCAGAUUGCUGCAUUAUUUAAAACUGUGAGGGAAUCUUUAAAAAAAUUCAAUUUUCUAUUUCCCAUCUACUUUAAUUACUUUCAGCGGGAUUUUAUUCAUUGUAGGCAAUGAAUUGUCCACGGAUAAAUGGAAUUGUUGGUAGUCACUUUCACUUUGGAGCUCUUCUAUAAUCGAAAUAUGAAGAUAUUUGCAUUGCUUUAUGAGGACAUUUAAAUACAAGAAGUAGGUUUUUAUAUUUCAGAUUGAAAGCAAAGAAAGCUACCUCACUGAUUCUAAAUUCACUUUGUAAAAUCUCGAAUUACUGAAAUUAAGUUCAUUCAGCUCAAAUAAGCCAAUUGUUUUCCCUUUGCUCCAAGGGAGAAGAGCAGGCUCUGUACCAUCUUGAUUGGUUUUUUAUUUGCUCAUCCCCUGAUAUGAUUUGGCUGUGUCCCCACCCAAAUCUCAUCCUGAACUAUAGUUCCCAUAAUCCCCACAUGUCAUGGGAGGGACCCAGUGGGAGGUAAUUGAAUCAUGGCGGUAGUUACCUCUAUGCUGUUUUUGUGAUAGUGAAUGGGUUCUUAUGAGAUCUGAUGGUUUAAUAAGGGGUUUUCCUCCCACUUUGCUCUGGACUUCUUGUUGCCACCAUGUGAAGAAGGCCUCCCCAGCCGUGCUGAACUGUGAGUCAAUUAAACCUCUUUCAUUUAUAAAUGACCCAGUCUUGGGUGUGUCUUUAUUAGCAGCAUGAGAAUGGGCUAAUACAUCCCCCUUUUGUAAUACCGUGAGGGAGGGCGUGCAUUAGAAUUGUGGUAUUCCAGUAGGAAAAUGAAUACACCAUAACAAGUCAUGGUAUCUGACUUUAGAACACAAACCAUUUGUUUCUGAUGUUGAUGUGCAGACUGGCUUCCGUGACUUGGACUUGCAUUCUCUUGGUCAUGUCAGAUUUAAGAUUCUUUUAUGCAGAACAAGCUAAACAAUAUCAUGGAGUUAUAGGAACCUAUUUAUUGUACAUGUAAUGAGAUAAAGGUGGCCUGUAAUAAAACAGUGCUUUUUAAUAUUGAAGAUGCUGAAACUCCUGGAGAAGCAGGUAACCUGCGUAUUUAAUUCAAGGACUGAAUCAUAAGAGCUCAUCUUUGGGAAGGAGCUUACCAUCAUUUAAUGCUGGAUUUUUACCUUGCUUCCUACAGAAACUAUUCCCCCCACUUUGAUAUGCAAAUAUUUCCAUUGGGCUUUUGGUUUCUUUUACAGUUUUCCAAGGCACUACAUCAUUGUAUUUGGUAAUUUCACUUUCUUUGUGUAAUUGUUCCUAAUCUUUAUUCUAAAAUCUUAUCCUACAAUAGUUCAAUGAAAGGUGCUUUUCUUUUUCUUUUAAUGUUUGGAAUACUGCACUUAAUGGAGAUUCCCAUGUUUACUUUAAAAAUAUUCAAAUUUUCAGAAAAAUGUAUUCCCCACUUUAUCCAAAUGAAGAGUAGUCACUGCAGAAAUCUUUUUAUUAGAAUCAUAGCAUUAACAUUGGAAAUUAUCUACAUCAGUUCCCGUUCAAUGCAGAAGUCUCUAGGCUUAGUUUUGUAGAGUACAGAGAGGGCUAGGCAUCUGUACUUCAAUCUACAAAUCCUCUUUUCCUCAACAUCCCUCCUAAAAUGUGGUUUCAAGGUGGCUAUGGCCUUGGUUUUCUUUCUUUCUCAAGCUCUUCAGGAUGCCACAUUAAAAAAAAAUUGACAGAUGUGAUAAAAAUUUUGAUGUUAAGACCCGAUAAAUAUUUUUAUAGAUGCCUCACCAGUGUGCUUAAGGGACACCCACGGAAGGUAGACUGGUGGAGGCUUAGGACAGUACUGUCUCCCUCAAGGAGCUGUAUAUACCUGGAAUUAUGGCACAUGCUCACAUGGCAUAGUUAGGACAGAACAUAAGAGAUCUGUGAUUAGGUGGCAAAGCAUAUAAAACAACUACUAGAAAAUGGUCAUGGGAAGGGAGGGGACAGUGUUGAGCCUUGGCAAAUAGAUAUUGGAGCAAAUGAUUUGCAAGGAGACUGAUCUGAUGGAACAGUAUUCAUGUUUGAGGCUGGUAGUAAUAAGAUGGGAUAAAUCAAAUAGGACAAAGUCACUAACAGGCCUCAAAUGUCACUGUGCCGAUUUUGAACUUGACAUUGAAGUUACUGGGAGCCAGUAUGGACUUUCGAGCACUGGUUGACUAAACGAAGGCAGAACUUUUAUCUAUUUCACUUGCUUAGAAUGCCUAGCAAUGUGAAAACAGUUAAAUCUAGAAGACCAAAUAUAGCUGUUGCACAAGGUUCUAGAAGACCAAAUAUAGCUAUUGCAUGAGGUUCUAGGCACUGAGAGCAAGUUUGACCUGAAGAGGUCCAGCUUUGGAUGGAUGGACCAGAAAGGAAAAAAAUCAAAAGGAUUUUUGGUAAUUGGCAACGAUAAAGAGGUUUUGAAUCUAAGAUAACCAUGAGUUUUGGUGCAAAUGGCAAGGACAAUGUUGGUGCCAUUGACAAAAUUAGGGGAAUUAUUUUGUUUCUUAUUUCAGCACUGAAAUAUGGAAAUUUAAUUUGCUUUUGAGCAAAUCAACUUUUUGGCACAGUCCCUUGUUUCAAUACUUAAGACCAGGCCCAGUGAGCAGAUGGGAGAUGGGGACUUGCUUCUGGAGAAUUAGAGCUUUGAGUUCUAGUCUGCCAUUGAUCGAUUACAAUCAAGCAAAUCCCUUCCUCCCUUGAUAUUUCCCACAUAUGAAAUGGGAAGGAUAAUGGGUUUCUGCUUAGAGGGUGAUUGUAUUAGUCUGUUCUGACUGCUAUAACAAAUAUGCCAUUAUUAUCACAAUUCUGAAGGCUGAAAAGCUUAAGAUCAAGGUGGGGGCAGACCCAGGGUCUGGUGAGGGCUUGCUUCCAGGUUUGCAGAUAGCCAUCAUCUCUCUGUCCUCACAGGGUGGAGAGCAGACAAUGAGGAAGGUAGCUCUCUCCUGUCUCUUUUAUAAGGGCACUAAUUCCAUUAUGAGGGCCCCAUCCUUAUGACUUAAUUACCUUCCCAACGCCCUGCCUCCUAAUACAUCCCAUUUGGGAUUUGAUUUCAACAUAUGAAUUCUGGGGAAACACAGAUGCGCAGUUUGUAACAGUGAUUGUAAAGGAUGUGCAAAGAAACGUUGGCAAGAAUGCUGUGCAAAUGGACCUGUCUUUAUGCAUACUCUCCUUUAUUGUUGAUGUGGGUGUUAAAGCCCAUGACCAGUCAUUAAGAACCCUUACUCCACUCUCUUCUGGGCAUAUGGCAAGUGAGAUUCUGACUUUAAUGGCUGGGAUGGGGAGAAAGGAGCUGGGAACAUAUGAGAAGGACCUCUUUGUCUUGUGUCUGUUUCAGCAGCAAGAGAGAAGACAUUGCUUGCAGCCAGAAGGAAAGGGACUGUCUCCAGGAAAAUGUAGCCUUUAGUUAGCAGAACUUACUUUAGAAGGACUAGGACUCAGGCUUUUAAAUAAAGUGUUGAAGUCUCUGUUCAUCUGCAUGUGUGUGUUGAAAGAAUUAGUCAAAAUAUCUGACCUUCACUUUUUAGGACUGAAUCACCAUUCUUUGCUAAAAACCCUGAGUAUGGAGUGAUAAUAACAAGAAUCAAAAGGUGUUUUCAAGUUGUAUAUACAACAUAGAUAGGGUUUUGUUUUAAAGAUAGGCAGUGAGACUUUUUCUGUAUUGUAAUUUUCAUUAGCAUUUUGUAAUAAAUUUAGUAUCUCCAGUUGGGGUUCAAUAACUUAAAAUGAGAAAAAUUGCAAUUUUAAUAAUAAGCACAGGUUGAUUGCCUACUUUGUCUUUUGUAUUAAAAUGAAUGUUGCAAUUACUGUGUAUUAAUACCCAGCAAACUAUGUUUCUUUUUCAUCUGGAACUAGAAAGUAUUACUUCUAAACAGGCACACACAAUUUAUCCUUGUAAAUAAAAUAAUUCUAAGUGUGCAUGUAUAUGUUUAUUAUGAAGCCAUCUUUCAGAAUGCACCAAAUGGAAGGAGAGAGGAGCUGAUUGUCUUUUAUUGUGGGGCUGACAGAAUGUUUAUUAAUGGCCAUGGAUUUGAAAUGAGCAUCUUACUAAAUGGAAGUCUUUGGCCAACCUCUGACCCUUUUGUCUUAAAGGUUUGAGAACAGAUAAUACGAAAGAAUACCAGCUUUUUUCCAGAUGGCUGCAUGCCUGAUGUUCCUUUAUGUUUAGCUGUCAUUCAAAUAUGAAUGCCCAGUGAUUAUAAGUGUCUCUUUCUCUUUUCUGGACUGAAAUGAAACCUUUUAUGCAUUGUGUGUUAAAACAGAUUAACUGUUUGGCUCAUCAGUAGGGAAAUUAGAACAAUAGCUGCCAAUUCAAUGGUAUAGUAGAAGAAUGUCCUUUGGGGCCAGGGGCUAAGGUUCAUAAGCAAAUGGUAUGUACAAGUGUCAGACUGGGGAAGGACAGACAAGUUAUAAAAAUAAUUCGCCUGAAUUUUAAUUUUAUAACUGCGUUGGAGUAGUAAUAUCUUUUAGAAGCAGGGAGGAUUUAGAUAAAUUUUUACGAACUUUUACAUAUUUUUUAGUUGCUCCAUUAAUAAUUUCUUGGAGUGCUGUUGUACACGAUGAAUUUAAAAUGAUGGAUUUAUAGAUAAUGUGUCUUAUGAAGACAUAAUGCAGAAUUACUGUAUGUUUCCUUAACUUUUUAGUGUGCUAAAGUUGUCUUUUAAAUAUAUGUAUUUCAUAAGGUAGAAUAAUGGAUAAUUUGAAUGUCAUUUUUCUACCAAUACUAACACUUUUGUAAUCUGAAAUGGAAGUCAAGGUGGACAGCUAUCAUUUAGGUAUGGUUGCAAUGCAGACCUGCCCGGAGGGCAAGGGGAAAACUGGUGACCCCUCAGUGACCUUUGUAGGAGAUGGCUGGAGGCCAAAGGUCUGAGGGGACCAACCGCAUCAAUUUAGGAAACUAGAGUACUUUACAAAAUGCUAGACAAACUCACAUUGUUAGCUCUGAGUAGUAAGGUGGCUGUCAUUUUCCAUGGAAAUCCAUAGAAUGAGGAAACUACAGUAGUCUUAUGACCUAGUGGACGAAAAAGAGCACAUGUGAGCUUAUUUAACCCCUAUGUAAAGAGAUUAUUUUGGUAACAAGAGGUACUUUUUAUGUAUUGUUUAUAGAAAAGCACAAAGGAAAGCCUACCAUGAAAUUCUGUUGUUUUAAUAACAAUUGUGUUUUCUAAAACAUCCAAAGAUGAAAAUAGGCUUAAAUAAAAUAGGCAGCUAUACCACUUUGUAAAACUUAUUGUCAUAGUAUAUUUUUGAUAUUUUCACAUUUUGUUUUGUAUUAUACUUUUUAAAAUGAUUUUAUGCCCAGCUAAUUUUUAUAACAGCUUUAUUGGUGUAUAAUUCACAUCCUAAACAAUUCACCCAUUAAAAAAUGCAGAAAUCAAUGACUUUUAUUAUAUUCUCAGAGUAUUUGCAUCCAUCACUACACAGUUUUGGAAUGCUCUCAUACAUUCUUCCCCAAAGAAACCCCACUCUUCUUACCAGUUAUCCCCUAUUCCCACCAGCCCUUGACAAUUACUAGUCUACUUUUGGUACUUUUGGUCCCUAUGAAGUUGCCCACUCUGGACAUUUCAUAUAAAUGGAAUUGUACAAUCAAUAUGUGGUCCUUUGUGAUUAGCUUCUUUCAGUUGAAAUGUUUUCAAGGUUCAACCAUGUUGUAGCAUGUGUCAGUAUUUAUUCCCUUUUAUGGCUGAAUAAAUUCUAUUGUAUGGAUAUGCCA